RNAcentral lists this ribosomal RNA (508 nucleotides) under Salmonella enterica subsp. enterica serovar Heidelberg. RNAcentral's name for it is "partial 23S ribosomal RNA". It matches the Rfam family "Bacterial large subunit ribosomal RNA", at positions 1249 to 1757 of the family's 2925-position model. The record is from RNAcentral. Lineage: Bacteria; Pseudomonadati; Pseudomonadota; Gammaproteobacteria; Enterobacterales; Enterobacteriaceae.
UGUGAAGGUGUGUCGUGAGGCAUGCUGGAGGUAUCAGAAGUGCGAAUGCUGACAUAAGUAACGAUAAAGCGGGUGAAAAGCCCGCUCGCCGGAAGACCAAGGGUUCCUGUCCAACGUUAAUCGGGGCAGGGUGAGUCGACCCCUAAGGCGAGGCCGAAAGGCGUAGUCGAUGGGAAACGGGUUAAUAUUCCCGUACUUGGUGUUACUGCGAAGGGGGGACGGAGAAGGCUAUGUUGGCCGGGCGACGGUUGUCCCGGUUUAAGCGUGUAGGUGUGUGUUCCAGGUAAAUCCGGUUCACUUUAACACUGAGGCGUGACGACGAGGCACUACGGUGCUGAAGCAACAAAUGCCCUGCUUCCAGGAAAAGCCUCUAAGCAUCAGGUAACAUCAAAUCGUACCCCAAACCGACACAGGUGGUCAGGUAGAGAAUACCAAGGCGCUUGAGAGAACUCGGGUGAAGGAACUAGGCAAAAUGGUGCCGUAACUUCGGGAGAAGGCACGCUGACAC